RNAcentral lists this ribosomal RNA (506 nucleotides) under uncultured delta proteobacterium. Its description in RNAcentral is "bacterial SSU rRNA". It matches the Rfam family "Bacterial small subunit ribosomal RNA", at positions 8 to 491 of the family's 1533-position model. Lineage: Bacteria; Deltaproteobacteria. The record is from RNAcentral.
AGAGUUUGAUCCUGGCUCAGAACGAACGCUGGCGGCGUGCCUAACACAUGCAAGUCGAACGGAUUUGAGGGGCUUGCUCCUCAAGUUAGUGGCGCACGGGUGAGUAACGCGUAGAUAAUCUGCCUGAUGAUCUGGGAUAACACUUCGAAAGAGGUGCUAAUACCGGAUAAGCCCACGAAGUCCUAGGACUUUGCGGGAAAAGGGGGGGACCUUCGGGCCUUCUGUCAUCAGAUGAGUCUGCGUACCAUUAGCUAGUUGGUAGGGUAAUGGCCUACCAAGGCUACGAUGGUUAGCUGGUUUGAGAGAAUGAUCAGCCACACUGGAACUGAGACACGGUCCAGACUCCUACGGGAGGCAGCAGUGGGGAAUUUUGCGCAAUGGGCGAAAGCCUGACGCAGCAACGCCGCGUGAGUGAUGAAGGCUUUCGGGUCGUAAAGCUCUGUCGAGGGGAAAGAAGUGUAUUGUGGUUAAUACCCGCGAUACUUGACGGUACCCCUAAAGGAAGC